Molecule: unclassified non-coding RNA, 735 nt
Filed under: uncultured Prochlorococcus sp.
Lineage: Bacteria; Bacillati; Cyanobacteriota; Cyanophyceae; Synechococcales; Prochlorococcaceae
Description: partial 16S-23S ribosomal RNA intergenic spacer; may also contain 16S ribosomal RNA and 23S ribosomal RNA
Rfam family: tRNA (bases 344-416)
Source: RNAcentral
UUGUGGAGAAGGACGCCGAAGGUGGGGCUGAUGACUGGGGUGAAGUCGUAACAAGGUAGCCGUACCGGAAGGUGCGGCUGGAUCACCUCCUAACAGGGAGACAAUAAAUUGAUUGUGAUGUCUAAGUUUUUUAUUCUUAGGCCGCAAUCCUGUCACCUUAAGGUCGAUCGGUACCUCAGAUUUUAGAAUUUAUUUUAUAAUUUAUUCUUUUAUUUCAGUUCCUAAACUUGUCUAGGUCACACCCAACAAAGGCUUCUCCUGGGCCAUUAGCUCAGGUGGUUAGAGCGCACCCCUGAUAAGGGUGAGGUCCCUGGUUCAAGUCCAGGAUGGCCCAUUCGUUGUUGGGGGUAUAGCUCAGUUGGUAGAGCGCCUGCUUUGCAAGCAGGAUGUCAGCGGUUCGAGUCCGCUUACCUCCACUGAUAACUAUCCUGAUAACUAAUUUCUGGAGAAAUACUUGUAGAUGUGCCUUAGAAUUGUUUAUUGAAAAGAACCUAGCUUCUUAUCAUCUUUUAUAUAGUUGAUAACACGCUGGGCUCCCAUGAAUCAAUUUCAUGAGAUUUCAGUAGAACCUUGAAAACUGCAUAGAUUAGAAAGAAUAAAGCAUCUCAUGGAUGCAUAAUUCUGUUUUUAUAAUUUAGCCUUAAAACUAAAUUAUUAAUACAAGAAUUCAUGUUUAAUUCUUGAGUAAAAGCCGAGCACAAUUGAUUUUUUGAUUGUAUUAAGGUCAAGCUAAAA